GACGAACCGAGCGAACGUUGUUCGGAAUCACUGGGCUUAAAGGGCGCGUAGGCGGGCUGUCAAGUCUGGGGUGAAAUCCCGCGGCUCAACCGUGGAACUGCCUCAGAUACUGACGGCCUCGAGGGAGGUAGGGGCGAGCGGAACUCUCAGUGGAGCGGUGAAAUGCGUUGAUAUUGGGAGGAACUCCGGUGGCGAAGGCGGCAUCCUGGACCGAUACUGACGCUGAGGAGCGAAAGCCAGGGGAGCAAACGGG
This 253-nucleotide ribosomal RNA is filed under the name uncultured bacterium. Its description in RNAcentral is "partial 16S ribosomal RNA". It matches the Rfam family "Bacterial small subunit ribosomal RNA", at positions 524 to 776 of the family's 1533-position model. The record is from RNAcentral.